RNAcentral lists this ribosomal RNA (519 nucleotides) under Paenibacillus sp. MUU17. RNAcentral's name for it is "bacterial SSU rRNA". It matches the Rfam family "Bacterial small subunit ribosomal RNA", at positions 213 to 725 of the family's 1533-position model. Lineage: Bacteria; Bacillati; Bacillota; Bacilli; Caryophanales; Paenibacillaceae. The record is from RNAcentral.
UGUGGCUUACAGAUGGGCCUGCGGCGCAUUAGCUAGUUGGUGAGGUAACGGCUCACCAAGGCGACGAUGCGUAGCCGACCUGAGAGGGUGAUCGGCCACACUGGGACUGAGACACGGCCCAGACUCCUACGGGAGGCAGCAGUAGGGAAUCUUCCGCAAUGGACGCAAGUCUGACGGAGCAACGCCGCGUGAGUGAUGAAGGUUUUCGGAUCGUAAAGCUCUGUUGCCAGGGAAGAAUGCUAAGGAGAGUAACUGCUCUUUAGGUGACGGUACCUGAGAAGAAAGCCCCGGCUAACUACGUGCCAGCAGCCGCGGUAAUACGUAGGGGGCAAGCGUUGUCCGGAAUUAUUGGGCGUAAAGCGCGCGCAGGCGGUCAUUUAAGUUUGGUGUUUAAUUCCGGGGCUCAACCCCGGGUCGCACUGAAAACUGGGUGACUUGAGUGCGGGAGAGGAAAGUGGAAUUCCACGUGUAGCGGUGAAAUGCGUAGAGAUGUGGAGGAACACCAGUGGCGAAGGCGAC